Solanum tuberosum (potato) is the source of this 78-nucleotide non-coding RNA. The record is from Rfam. NCBI's taxonomy places the organism in Eukaryota, Viridiplantae, Streptophyta, Magnoliopsida, Solanales, Solanaceae.
AGGAGCCGUAUGAGGUGAAAAUCUCACGUACGGUUCUGGAAUAGCGAUGGGCACAGUGAUGUUAUCAUCGACUAUGAU